GGAGAUGACCCGAACGGUCAGGAGCUUCCCUGCUAAGGAAGUAUGAGGUAACACUCUAGUGGGUUCGAAUCCCAUCAUCUCCGC
RNAcentral lists this transfer RNA (84 nucleotides) under Arthrobacter phage Mimi. RNAcentral describes it as "tRNA-Ser". It matches the Rfam family "tRNA". Rfam says of the family: Transfer RNA (tRNA) molecules are approximately 80 nucleotides in length. Their secondary structure includes four short double-helical elements and three loops (D, anti-codon, and T loops). Further hydrogen bonds mediate the characteristic L-shaped molecular structure. tRNAs have two regions of fundamental functional importance: the anti-codon, which is responsible for specific mRNA codon recognition, and the 3' end, to which the tRNAs corresponding amino acid is attached (by aminoacyl-tRNA synthetases). tRNAs cope with the degeneracy of the genetic code in two manners: having more than one tRNA (with a specific anti-codon) for a particular amino acid; and 'wobble' base-pairing, i.e. permitting non-standard base-pairing at the 3rd anti-codon position. The record is from RNAcentral. Lineage: Duplodnaviria; Heunggongvirae; Uroviricota; Caudoviricetes.